GACGAACGCUGGCGGCGUGCUUAACACAUGCAAGUCGAACGGAAAGGCCCUGCUUUUGUGGGGUGCUCGAGUGGCGAACGGGUGAGUAACACGUGAGUAACCUGCCCUUGACUUUGGGAUAACUUCAGGAAACUGGGGCUAAUACCGGAUAGGAGCUCCUGCUGCAUGGUGGGGGUUGGAAAGUUUCGGCGGUUGGGGAUGGACUCGCGGCUUAUCAGCUUGUUGGUGGGGUAGUGGCUUACCAAGGCUUUGACGGGUAGCCGGCCUGAGAGGGUGACCGGCCAGAGGGGGCAGGCGUCACGGCCGAGACGCCGGCGGGGGGCAGCAGUGGGGGAUAGGCAGCAAGGGGGGCAGGCCUGAUGGAAACCGGGGGCGUGGGGGAGGGCGUCGGGGGGUUUGUCACCGGUUGCGCCUGGGGGCGAGGGGCGGGUGCCGUUAAGGGGUACAGAAGCCCCGGCUACAUACGGGCCAGCAGCGGCGGUAACGGUGAAAAGCAAAGGUCUGAGC
Molecule: ribosomal RNA, 507 nt
Filed under: uncultured bacterium
Lineage: Bacteria
Description: partial 16S ribosomal RNA
Rfam family: Bacterial small subunit ribosomal RNA (bases 20-332)
Source: RNAcentral